AAGCAGAAGGGGAGAAAUGAAAAUUAUUGUCCAAAGCAGCGUCGGGUUGUUGACUGUAUCGUCUGUAGCUUGCUAGCACAGCUAUCUAGAGAUAGCUAACAAGAAUAGCUAGCAUUCUAUUAGCUAUUUGCUAACAAGAUAAAUUAGCUUGGCUUAGCUCGGGCAGUUAAUUUCUGCAGAUCAAGAAGAUUAGAUUUAGGUUUAGUGAAGCAGUAGAUUCGUGUGUUUUGGGCAAGUGGGUUCUCUGUAUCCAUAUCCUUGGUUACAUGGUCCCACCACACAAGGCACCGGCCUCGAGUUCUUCAUGGAGCCGACGAUGGCUAUGGAUUUGUUUUCCUAAGCGUAGGAAAAGUGACUUGAGACCAAGAGCUUAAGCCUAAGCUCUGCUUCUCCCUCGCCGUCAGUCCUCAACAUUAGCCCUGCGUUUUAUGUUCUCUGCAUCUACAUUGGCAUACAAAGGCACGCAUAUGAAUGUACAUUUGUGUCAAAGGGUUUUAAAUGGGGGGGAAGACCACCUUCACUCUUUUAUUGGUCU
Chanos chanos (milkfish) is the source of this 535-nucleotide long non-coding RNA. RefSeq lists it as uncharacterized. NCBI's taxonomy places the organism in Eukaryota, Metazoa, Chordata, Actinopteri, Gonorynchiformes, Chanidae. The record is from RefSeq and is a predicted model, not a curated record. The transcript has 3 exons.